CAUGCUCCCGGCCGCCAUGGCGGCCGCGGGAAUUCGAUUAGGAUAGAGGCCUACCAUGGUGGUAACGGGUAACGGGGAAUUAGGGUUCGAUUCCGGAGAGGGAGCCUGAGAAACGGCUACCACAUCCAAGGAAGGCAGCAGGCGCGCAAAUUACCCAAUCCCGACACGGGGAGGUAGUGACAAUAAAUAACAAUACGGGGCUCUUUCGGGUCUCGUAAUUGGAAUGAGUACAAUUUAAAUCCCUUAACGAGGAACAAUUGGAGGGCAAGUCUGGUGCCAGCAGCCGCGGUAAUUCCAGCUCCAAUAGCGUAUAUUAAAGUUGUUGCAGUUAAAAAGCUCGUAGUUGAAUUUCGGGAUUGACACAUCAGUCGUGCCUUAAGGGGUAUGAACUGGUGUAGUCAAUUUCUCACCUUCUGGAGAACCGCGAUGCCCUUAAUUGGGUGUCACGGGGAACCAGGACCUUUACUUUGAAAAAAUUAGAGUGUUUAAAGCAGGCAUUUUGCUUGAAUACAUUAGCAUGGAAUAAUAAAAUAGGACGGCAUGAUUCUAUUUUGUUGGUUUCUAGGAUCACCGUAAUGAUUAAUAGGGAUAGUUGGGGGCAUUAGUAUUCAAUUGUCAGAGGUGAAAUUCUUGGAUUUAUUGAAGACUAACUACUGCGAAAGCAUUUGCCAAGGAUGUUUUUCAUUAAUCAAGAACGAAAGUUAGGGGAUCGAAGACGAUCAGAUACCGUCGUAGUCUUAACCAUAAACUAUGCCGACUAGGAAUCAGACGAUGUUAAUUUUUUAAUGACUCGUUUGGCACCUUACGGGAAACCAAAGUGUUUGGGUUU
This 829-nucleotide ribosomal RNA is filed under the name Glomus sp. MC4. RNAcentral's name for it is "SSU rRNA". It matches the Rfam family "Eukaryotic small subunit ribosomal RNA", at positions 262 to 1114 of the family's 1831-position model. Lineage: Eukaryota; Fungi; Glomeromycota; Glomeromycetes; Glomerales; Glomeraceae. The record is from RNAcentral.